Molecule: ribosomal RNA, 322 nt
Filed under: uncultured eukaryote
Lineage: Eukaryota
Description: partial 18S ribosomal RNA
Rfam family: Eukaryotic small subunit ribosomal RNA
Source: RNAcentral
CCCUUAGAUGUUCUGGGCCGCACGCGUGCUACACUGAGUGGAUCAGCGGGUCAGGUUGCGCGAAAGUGUUUCCUAAUCUUGAAAUCCGCUCGUGAUGGGGAUUGACGGUUGCAAUUUUCCGUCAUGAACGAGGAAUACCUUGUAAGCGCGGGUCAUCAUCCCGCGCUGAAUACGUCCCUGCCCUUUGUACACACCGCCCGUCGCUCCUACCGAUUGAGUGGUCCGGUGAGGCUUUGGGAUCUGAGCGGAAAGAGCGUUUCGCUGUUUCUGCUCGGAAAACUCAGUCGAACCUUAUCAUUUAGAGGUAGGAGAAGUCGUAACA